UAGUUGUAUCCAAUUUACAGUCAAUGA
RNAcentral lists this small RNA (27 nucleotides) under Bombyx mori (domestic silkworm). RNAcentral's name for it is "ovarian small RNA-23192". Lineage: Eukaryota; Metazoa; Arthropoda; Insecta; Lepidoptera; Bombycidae. The record is from RNAcentral.